RNAcentral lists this long non-coding RNA (540 nucleotides) under Marmota monax (woodchuck). Lineage: Eukaryota; Metazoa; Chordata; Mammalia; Rodentia; Sciuridae. The record is from RNAcentral.
AAACCCCCCCCCCCCCCCCCCCCCGCUGGUACAAAGACCUCUCCACAGGUGUGGCUGUAUACUGGACCGGUAGUCAGUGACGGGUAAGAUCCAAUUGCAAUGGUACCAACCUAAGACAGGAGGCUGACGCCUUGAGGUCAGCUUAUCCGAUAAUGGGUAAGGACCAUAUGUACUAUUGGACAACCUAAGGCAGGCACGGUCCCUAAGCCACAUGCUUGUUGUUUAAACAGAGAGGGGGAGAUGUUGAGAGCCACAGCCGAAGGGGCCCCAGCAAACUUUCAGACUGCCAGCUGAUGAUUGGCUCACAGCGGCCCCAGCAACUUCUAGCUAAUUGGCUCCUCUGCGGUGAUGCUCAUUGAGCUGUUUUCCCGCCCUUUCAGACUACCGAGCUGCUCAUGGGGGGACUUUUUUGGCUCCGCCCACGUGACCCAGCCAAUCAGCCUCAAGAGCAGGAGGAGUGGGGGAGGUUGAGAGGCUUGUGGGAAGCGGUGGUGGCAGUUGGGCUCUGAAGGUUUUUCCUGAGGAGCUGUUUUGUUUGGC